Long non-coding RNA from Ictalurus punctatus (channel catfish), 988 nucleotides. RefSeq lists it as uncharacterized. The transcript has 2 exons. NCBI's taxonomy places the organism in Eukaryota, Metazoa, Chordata, Actinopteri, Siluriformes, Ictaluridae. The record is from RefSeq and is a predicted model, not a curated record.
CAUUGAGUUCACAUGCAUGUCAUGGCCCCAGGGACAAUUCCAUCUUUGACCACUAGAGGGCACCCUGAUUGUCUUCUUCUUCUUCUGUUGUCUUCCACCGUUUCGUGUUUUAAUCAUUCCCAUGUGUGUUUCAUUUCCCUGAUUGAUUAGUGCUCCUAUUUAAGUUCCCUGGUUUUUCUUCUCAGUGGCUGGAACGUUGCAUGAAGUUAGGUUAUGGGCUGAGUGCUCACAGUUUGUUAUUGUUCAGUUUAUGCACUGUUUGGUUUUAUUUAGUGUUUUCUUAGGGUUUCUUUCCUAGUUGUACUAAGUUUCUGAUAGCCCUAGUACCUAGUGUGUUUAUUCCUCAGGUUUAUUUUCCUGAGCCUGUACCCUGUGUUCUGUCUUCAAUAAAAGAAAUUGUGCAUUUGUAUCCACCUCCUGGACUCCCUCAUGACUGAAUGCUCCAGCCACUCAUGUAUACAGCAGAACUUCAGUGCUGGUUGGGAGUGGAUUUUGGCUUGUGAGGUGGGGACACCUUAAGAGGUGGUUCACCAACAGGAGGGACUUUUUGGUGCAGUGGGAUAGACUGGACUAGGAGAGGGGUUGAGCUCUAAAUUGGAGGCUCUCUGCUAAACCCCACCCCUGGGGCAGCUGAGGUCAUUGUGUGGCUUUGGUGUUCCCCUGUCGCGUGGCUUCGGCGUUCCUGUUAAGGCCAUUGUUCCCCCUGGCCCCAGGGACAACUCUGUCUUUGGCCACUAGAGGUGGUACUAAAGUUCCCUGGUUUUUCUCCUCAGUUGCUGGAGCACUGCAUCAAGUUGGGUUAUGUUUUUGGUCUGAGUUCCUACCUUUUUGUUAUUGUUCAGAUUAUGCAAUGUUUUUAUUUAGUGUUUUCUUAGGGUUUCUUUCCUGGUUGUACUAAGUUUCUGAUAACCCUGGUACCUUGUGUUUCUUUGUUUUUGUUUUCCUGAGCCUGUGUUCUGUCUUCAGUAAAGUUCUGCAUUUGUAUCCA